RNAcentral lists this ribosomal RNA (464 nucleotides) under uncultured bacterium. RNAcentral's name for it is "bacterial SSU rRNA". It matches the Rfam family "Bacterial small subunit ribosomal RNA", at positions 26 to 507 of the family's 1533-position model. The record is from RNAcentral.
AGGACGAACGCUGGCGGCGUGCUUAACACAUGCAAGUCGAACGGAAGUAAGAGCUUCGGGUUUUACUUUAGUGGCGAACGGGUGAGUAACGCGUGGGUAACCUGCCUCAUACAGGGGGAUAACAGUUAGAAAUGACUGCUAAUACCGCAUAAGCGCACAGGACCGCAUGGUCUGGUGUGAAAAACUCCGGUGGUAUGAGAUGGACCCGCGUCUGAUUAGCUAGUUGGUGGGGUAACGGCCUACCAAGGCGACGAUCAGUAGCCGGCCUGAGAGGGUGAACGGCCACAUUGGGACUGAGACACGGCCCAAACUCCUACGGGAGGCAGCAGUGGGGAAUAUUGCACAAUGGGGGAAACCCUGAUGCAGCGACGCCGCGUGAGUGAAGAAGUAUUUCGGUAUGUAAAGCUCUAUCAGCAGGGAAGAAAAUGACGGUACCUGACUAAGUAGCACCGGCUAAAUACGUG